GGGGCUGGGGCUCAGUGGUAGAGCGCUCGCCUAGCAUGUGAGAGGCCCUGGGUUUGACCUCAGUACCA
Molecule: transfer RNA, 68 nt
Filed under: Ictidomys tridecemlineatus (thirteen-lined ground squirrel)
Lineage: Eukaryota; Metazoa; Chordata; Mammalia; Rodentia; Sciuridae
Description: Spermophilus tridecemlineatus (thirteen-lined ground squirrel) tRNA
Rfam family: tRNA
About the family: Transfer RNA (tRNA) molecules are approximately 80 nucleotides in length. Their secondary structure includes four short double-helical elements and three loops (D, anti-codon, and T loops).
Source: Rfam by way of RNAcentral